CCUACGGGAGGCUGCAGUGGGGAAUAUUGGACAAUGGGGGGAACCCUGAUCCAGCCAUGCCGCGUGUGUGAAGAAGGCCCUCGGGUUGUAAAGCACUUUCAGUGAGGAAGAACGCCUGGUGGUUAAUACCCAUCAGGAAAGACAUCACUCACAGAAGAAGCACCGGCUAACUCCGUGCCAGCAGCCGCGGUAAUACGGAGGGUGCGAGCGUUAAUCGGAAUUACUGGGCGUAAAGCGCGCGUAGGUGGCUUGAUAAGCCGGUUGUGAAAGCCCCGGGCUCAACCUGGGAACGGCAUCCGGAACUGUCAAGCUAGAGUGGAGGAGAGGAAGGUAGAAUUCCCGGUGUAGCGGUGAAAUGCGUAGAGAUCGGGAGGAAUACCAGUGGCGAAGGCGGCCUUCUGGACUGACACUGACACUGAGGUGCGAAAGCGUGGGUAGCAAACAGGAUUAGAUACCCUUGUAGUC
This 465-nucleotide ribosomal RNA is filed under the name Vreelandella stevensii. RNAcentral describes it as "partial 16S ribosomal RNA". It matches the Rfam family "Bacterial small subunit ribosomal RNA", at positions 338 to 795 of the family's 1533-position model. The record is from RNAcentral. Lineage: Bacteria; Pseudomonadati; Pseudomonadota; Gammaproteobacteria; Oceanospirillales; Halomonadaceae.